This 68-nucleotide transfer RNA is filed under the name Eretmocerus sp. WTT-2016. Its description in RNAcentral is "tRNA-Met". Lineage: Eukaryota; Metazoa; Arthropoda; Insecta; Hymenoptera; Aphelinidae. The record is from RNAcentral.
AUAACGCUGUUAUCCCUAAGGUAAUUUAUUUUUAUUCAAUAAUUAUUGGUUAAUUAAAUCUUUUCAUU